This 441-nucleotide long non-coding RNA is filed under the name Mustela putorius furo (domestic ferret). RNAcentral's name for it is "lncRNA (ENSMPUG00000026015.1)". The record is from RNAcentral. Lineage: Eukaryota; Metazoa; Chordata; Mammalia; Carnivora; Mustelidae.
UCCAGACUGUUGGUGGUGGCACAUACCAAGAGAGGGUAUGGGAACUGGAUGGCAGUGGUCCCUCAGUACAGGACAAAAACCAUUCCAUCAUCUUCUGCGACCAAAGACUCAGCAACCCCAGCCUUUGUAGCAUUGAAGAAGAGCACAGCACUGUGUGCUCAUAAGUUGACUUAUGUCAACUUUGUGAACAAAGUCUAUCAGCAGAAUUAUGUCCCAACAGUGUUUGAGAAUUAGACGGCCAAUUUUGAAACUGACAUACAAAGAAUAGAGUGGAGUCUGUGGCACACUUCGGGUAAGAGUGUCAUGGGACCUUGCGGUGCUUGGGGCAGCUUUCCAGCAGCACGGGGGGCCGGAGGGGGGGGCGGCUGAUGCGUGGCAUGCCUCAAGCACCCAACAGCGCACCAACAGCGCACCACCAGCACACUCUGUGACCCUGGUUUA